Molecule: ribosomal RNA, 253 nt
Filed under: uncultured bacterium
Lineage: Bacteria
Description: partial 16S ribosomal RNA
Rfam family: Bacterial small subunit ribosomal RNA
Source: RNAcentral
UACAGAGGGGGCCAGCGUUAUUCGGAAUUAUUGGGCGUAAAGGGCGCGUAGGCGGCUUGUCACGUCGGGUGUGAAAGCCCGGGGCUUAACCCCGGGUCUGCAUUCGAUACGGGCUAGCUAGAGUGUGGUAGGGGAGAUCGGAAUUCCUGGUGUAGCGGUGAAAUGCGCAGAUAUCAGGAGGAACACCGGUGGCGAAGGCGGAUCUCUGGGCCAUUACUGACGCUGAGGAGCGAAAGCGUGGGGAGCGAACAGG